RNAcentral lists this ribosomal RNA (400 nucleotides) under uncultured bacterium. Its description in RNAcentral is "bacterial SSU rRNA". It matches the Rfam family "Bacterial small subunit ribosomal RNA", at positions 355 to 772 of the family's 1533-position model. The record is from RNAcentral.
CAAGGAAUUUUCGUCAAUGGGCGUAAGCCUGAACGAGCAACGCCGCGUGGGGGAUGACGGCCUUCGGGUUGUAAACCCCUUUUGCGUGGGACGAUAAUGACGGUACCACGUGAAUAAGCCCCGGCUAACUCCGUGCCAGCAGCCGCGGUAAGACGGAGGGGGCAAGCGUUGUCCGGACUCACUGGGCGUAAAGGGUGCGCAGGCGGCAGAGCGCGUCCGCGCUGAAAUCUGUUGGCUUAACUGACAGGCGCGUGCGGAUACGGCUCAGCUCGAGGCACGGAGAGGGUGGGGGAACUCCUGGUGUAGUGGUGAAAUGCGUAGAGAUCAGGAAGAACACCCGUGGCGCAAGCGCCCACCUGGCCGUGACCUGACGCUGCGGCACGAAAGCGUGGGGAGCGAA